Molecule: ribosomal RNA, 253 nt
Filed under: uncultured bacterium
Lineage: Bacteria
Description: partial 16S ribosomal RNA
Rfam family: Bacterial small subunit ribosomal RNA
Source: RNAcentral
UACAUGGGGUGCAAACGUUGCUCGGAAUCAUUGGGCGUAAAGCGCGCGUAGGCGGUUACUUAAGUCGAAUGUGAAAGCCCUCGGCUUAACCGAGGAAGUGCAUCCGAAACUGAGUAGCUAGAGUACGAAAGAGGGUCGCGGAAUUCCCGGUGUAGAGGUGAAAUUCGUAGAUAUUAGGAAGAACACCGGUGGCGAAGGCGGCCCACUGGAUCGGUACUGACGCUGAGGUGCGAAAGCGUGGGGAGCAAACAGG